Molecule: unclassified non-coding RNA, 276 nt
Filed under: Xylodon flaviporus
Lineage: Eukaryota; Fungi; Basidiomycota; Agaricomycetes; Hymenochaetales; Schizoporaceae
Description: partial contains 5.8S ribosomal RNA, internal transcribed spacer 2, and large subunit ribosomal RNA
Source: RNAcentral
CGCACCUUGCGCUCCUUGGUAUUCCGAGGAGCAUGCCUGUUUGAGUGUCGUGAAAUUAUCAACUCCUAUUCUUUAUUGAAUGGUGAGCUUGGAUUUGGAGAUUGCUGGUGAAAAUCGGCUUCUCUUGAAUGAAUUAGCUGGAAUUUGAUUCGCAGCAUAUAUGCGGUGUGAUAAUGUCGUCACUGUGUAGCUCGGAUUGUCUGGCUUCUAAUCGUCUUUCAUGGACAAUUUGAUCAUUUUGACCUCAAAUCAGGUAGGACUACCCGCUGAACUUAA